UUAAGUUCAGCGGGUAUCCCUACCUGAUCCGAGGUCAAAAUAGAAGGGGUAGCUUAUGGGAGCCAAUACACCGGGACCCGAGGUUCGCGUUUCUGCUUGCGCUCGAAGCCAAUGUACUAGCCGCCAAUGAUUUCAAGGCGAGUCCCGGCCCCGGGGGGCAGGACAGACACCCAACACCAAGCGGAGCUUGAGGGUUUAAA
This 200-nucleotide unclassified non-coding RNA is filed under the name Pleosporales sp. RNAcentral describes it as "partial internal transcribed spacer 2". Lineage: Eukaryota; Fungi; Ascomycota; Dothideomycetes; Pleosporales. The record is from RNAcentral.